RNAcentral lists this long non-coding RNA (1233 nucleotides) under Struthio camelus australis. RNAcentral describes it as "lncRNA (ENSSCUG00000003590.1)". The record is from RNAcentral. Lineage: Eukaryota; Metazoa; Chordata; Aves; Struthioniformes; Struthionidae.
ACUAGCUAACUCAGAGCUUGCUAAUGAGAGCUUGGCUCUUCGUUUCCAGGUGCAAUGGCUUGAGGCUGGGGCGACCGCGACCUGCUGCAGUCGGACACGGAUCUGACUGGAAACCCGGCAUCCGCAGGGACGUCACGGUGCUGCCGUCGGGGAUCGGAGGAAAUGCAGAGUUGAUGUGUGCUGAACGUUCCUUCGGACCCGCAGGCAACUGCUCUGUGAGGAAAAAAUCUUAGGUGAGUUUGCAAUCCAGUUAUGGCAAAUGUGCCUUGCAGUCACAGCACUGCCAGCCUGCUUCAGGACAACUUGAUCCACCGCUCCAGUCUGCCAAAGGAGUAAGAAAGGGGGACUUUGAAUGACCUGCUAUGCCUAAUUCUGUGCAGAGACUAGCUGACCUUCUGAUGUCCCUUUAAGAGCUGCAAAUCUAUGAUUUAUGUUAUCAUUUAUUUUAGAAACAUUAUUCUCAUUAUUAUAAUCUAUGAUUUAUAGCAACUUUAAUAUAUUAGAGCUGGGAGAAAAGUCAAAUUGCAGGUUCAACUUGAGAUAAUAUUUUUACUAUAAACUUAAUUUUCAGACUUUAAAAUACUUCAGCAAUCCACAUUUUCCGCUUUGCUCCGUAGACCAGUGUAAUUUGGGAGAGAAAUGAAAGGAUUUAGACAUCCUUUUGGGAAGCACAGUCUAUGCAGAGCUAAAUGCAAUUUUACAGAUGUUGCACAAGAGAUUUUGAGCAUGCUGAAGUACAGUUUCCCUUAAAUUAUUUUUUCGGUUCAUAUAUGUAUACAAUACUGUUAAAUAAUCCAAGGGUGACUAGAAAACAAGCUAAAUGAGGGGCUCAAGGUGUGAAAUCUUGUAUGAGCAGAGAGAAAGAUCGUUGCUGGUGCAAGCAACUUAGAGCCUCCUGGGACAGCAGACGGAGAGGCACGGGGCCUCCCCAUACCAAAUUUUAGUCGAAAUAUUUCAAGGCACACAAUCUUUCGUCUUUACCCUUGCUGGAAAUCCUCGGGUGAGGACUGUGAGUAGCCUGUGAGCUUCACCCAUGGAUUUGGGUGUUGUUUGGGGCGUAGGGCAAAACCUGGGCCACGUGGCCACCGCUCCGACGCCGAGACCAACAGUUGCUGCUUCGGCCCCCUCGACUUUAAUCGUUUUCUCAAAAACCCCAUGGAGAGAAAAGCCUUUUAGCGUUAACUUUUUCAAACAAAGCAUCUGCUAAGCGGUUCCCCGCGCGGCGCUUGGCUU